GACCUCGUGGCGCAGUGGUAGCGCGUGUGAUUCCAGUCCACAAGGUCAUCCGUUCAAUCCGGGUCGAGGUCA
This 72-nucleotide transfer RNA is filed under the name Jaapia argillacea MUCL 33604. Its description in RNAcentral is "tRNA-Trp (CCA) (tRNA-Trp-CCA-1-1)". It matches the Rfam family "tRNA". From Rfam's summary of the family: Transfer RNA (tRNA) molecules are approximately 80 nucleotides in length. Their secondary structure includes four short double-helical elements and three loops (D, anti-codon, and T loops). Lineage: Eukaryota; Fungi; Basidiomycota; Agaricomycetes; Jaapiales; Jaapiaceae. The record is from RNAcentral.